CAAACGGUCCUUUUCAGGACCAACGAAAAUGUUCCCGCAAGAGUUAU
Aedes albopictus (Asian tiger mosquito) is the source of this 47-nucleotide non-coding RNA. The record is from Rfam. NCBI's taxonomy places the organism in Eukaryota, Metazoa, Arthropoda, Insecta, Diptera, Culicidae.